Molecule: ribosomal RNA, 253 nt
Filed under: uncultured bacterium
Lineage: Bacteria
Description: partial 16S ribosomal RNA
Rfam family: Bacterial small subunit ribosomal RNA
Source: RNAcentral
UACGGGGGGAGCGAACGUUGUUCGGAAUCACUGGGCGUAAAGGGCGUGUAGGCGGCUGAAUAAGUGGGAUGUUAAAUCCCCCGGCUCAACCGGGGACCUGCAUCUCAUACUGUUCAGCUCGAGCACAUCAGAGGAGACUGGAAUUCCCGGUGUAGCGGUGAAAUGCGUAGAUAUCAGGAGGAACACCGGUGGCGAAGGCGGGUCUCUGGGCCGAUACUGACGCUGAGGAGCGAAAGCAUGGGUAGCGAACAGG